AACGAACGCUGGCGGCAUGCCUAACACAUGCAAGUCGAACGAGAUCUUCGGAUCUAGUGGCGCACGGGUGCGUAACGCGUGGGAAUCUGCCCCUUGCUUCGGAAUAACAGUGAGAAAUUACUGCUAAUACCGGAUGAUGUCUUCGGACCAAAGAUUUAUCGGCAAGGGAUGAGCCCGCGUAGGAUUAGGUAGUUGGUGGGGUAAUGGCCUACCAAGCCGACGAUCCUUAGCUGGUCUGAGAGGAUGAUCAGCCACACUGGGACUGAGACACGGCCCAGACUCCUACGGGAGGCAGCAGUGGGGAAUAUUAGACAAUGGGCGAAAGCCUGAUCCAGCAAUGCCGCGUGAGUGAUGAAGGCCUUAGGGUUGUAAAGCUCUUUUACCAGGGAUGAUAAUGACAGUACCUGGAGAAUAAGCUCCGGCUAACUCCGUG
This 433-nucleotide ribosomal RNA is filed under the name uncultured bacterium. Its description in RNAcentral is "partial 16S ribosomal RNA". It matches the Rfam family "Bacterial small subunit ribosomal RNA", at positions 29 to 507 of the family's 1533-position model. The record is from RNAcentral.